CAUAGAUAACGCCUCUCCGGUGUGCCGCCUUGGCGGUACGGAAACAGGGAACCCGGUGUAAAUCCGGGACUGUCGCGCAGCGGUGUGAGAGAACGAAAGCUGCUAGGGGGUGCUCUUUAAGGUAAAGGGUCGCCACCAGACACUCUGCCCCACGUGGCAGGGGAAGUCGCAGCCGUAGGGUGGUAGCAUAGGCUUGGCCGGUGCUGCCCAUGCUCUCAAGUCCGAAGACCUGCCGGGGGCAUCCGUCUUGA
This 251-nucleotide non-coding RNA is filed under the name Magnetococcus marinus MC-1. The record is from RNAcentral. RNAcentral also lists the same sequence under 1 other name. Lineage: Bacteria; Pseudomonadati; Pseudomonadota; Magnetococcia; Magnetococcales; Magnetococcaceae.